RNAcentral lists this long non-coding RNA (755 nucleotides) under Lupinus angustifolius (narrow-leaved blue lupine). RNAcentral's name for it is "long non-coding RNA (LANG_LNC001659)". Lineage: Eukaryota; Viridiplantae; Streptophyta; Magnoliopsida; Fabales; Fabaceae. The record is from RNAcentral.
UUUCCGAGAUUGACCCUGGAAAAUUUGAUGAAGCCUCGGGUGUAGCAAUAAAAAUUGAGGAACUUGAGAUGCAAGGCAGAAUGGUUGUAUGAAUGAGGUGCUGGCCAAGGCUGGAGUUGGUGCAAAUAUCUAGUCAACACAAACACCCAUAUCAGAGCAGAAAAAGCUAUCACAAACACGUAUAUACCAAAAGGCAGAGUUGUUACAAUCAGCCAAAUGUAAUGUACGGGAUUUAUAUGGAUUGGUGGAUAGUUUUGUAUCCAUCCAUUAGGAUCCAAAUCCAAAUCCAAAUCCAAAUCCAUCCAAUUGCCACCCCUAGCCACAACCCACAAGAAUGAACAUUCUUGAACAUUUGAAACGUUAUUCCGUUACAGCCACAACCCACAAGAAUGAACAUUCUUGAAUAUUUGAAACGUUAUUUCAUUGCAGCCACAACCCACAAUCAAACAAAUUGCCUCAUGACAUUUUUAGGGAUUUGGAACAGUGUUAGCUUUGUAAAAUAACAUUGAAGAUCGAGAGAGAAAGAGAACUGAGAAAUAUAUGGCACUUACAAAUGGUCGGUACAUGCCACAAAUUCAUCAAAUUCUCUAUCUAUUCAAGUUUCAACAUUAUCGAAAAAACAAGAGAUUGAAUCUCAUUACCGACACAGCCGAAGAAAUUGCCUAAAAAAUGUAGGGCUUUGAAAUGUUUGACGAAGAUGCCACUUUCGUCAAAACAAUUAGUAAAAAAAGUUCAAAGAUUAAAACUAAAAAAAG